GGUCCCAUAGCUCAGCUGGAUAGAGUGCACGCCUCCGAAGCGUGAGGUCGCAGGUUCGAAUCCUGCUGGGACCGCCA
This 77-nucleotide transfer RNA is filed under the name Roseobacter denitrificans. Its description in RNAcentral is "tRNA-Arg". It matches the Rfam family "tRNA". From Rfam's summary of the family: Transfer RNA (tRNA) molecules are approximately 80 nucleotides in length. The record is from RNAcentral. Lineage: Bacteria; Pseudomonadati; Pseudomonadota; Alphaproteobacteria; Rhodobacterales; Roseobacteraceae. RNAcentral also lists the same sequence under 7 other names.